RNAcentral lists this transfer RNA (76 nucleotides) under Pseudarcicella hirudinis. RNAcentral describes it as "tRNA_Phe_GAA". It matches the Rfam family "tRNA". From Rfam's summary of the family: Transfer RNA (tRNA) molecules are approximately 80 nucleotides in length. Their secondary structure includes four short double-helical elements and three loops (D, anti-codon, and T loops). RNAcentral also lists the same sequence under 1 other name. The record is from RNAcentral. Lineage: Bacteria; Pseudomonadati; Bacteroidota; Cytophagia; Cytophagales; Flectobacillaceae.
GGUGAAGUAGCUCAGUUGGUAGAGCAUCGGACUGAAAAUCCGUGUGUCGGCGGUUCGAGUCCGCCCUUUACCACAA